Rhinichthys klamathensis goyatoka is the source of this 218-nucleotide long non-coding RNA. RefSeq lists it as uncharacterized. The transcript is spliced from 3 exons. NCBI's taxonomy places the organism in Eukaryota, Metazoa, Chordata, Actinopteri, Cypriniformes, Leuciscidae. The record is from RefSeq and is a predicted model, not a curated record.
CAUAAAAGUGCAUCUAUCCAUCAUAAAAGUGCAUCUAUCCAUCAUAAAAGUGCGUCUGUCCAUCAUAAAAUACAUCUAUACAUCAUAAAAGUGCAUCUAUCCAUCAUAAAAGUGCAUCUAUCCAUCAUAAAAUACAUCUAUACAUCAUAAAAGUGCAUCUAUCCAUCAUAAAAGUGCAUCUGUCCAUCAUAAAAGUGCAUCUAUCCCUCAUAAAAGUG